GCUAAUCCUCCUGGUCAUCACAAAGCCUACAAGAAAUUCUAUUCUUAAUAGGUCUCGUGAAGCUAACUUAAUAUCUUGGGGAAAAAUGCUUAACAUUCUAUGAUUCAUCACGCCGGGUUUCAAAAUUUAAUGAAUAAAUAUUGAAAACUAAAUCUCUUGAGUUAAGAACACCAACAAUAUCCUUACUCGACUUUCUUUUAGUGUUUUAGGGUUCUAGCAUCCAUAAUUCGUUCCAUUAAAGACAAUCGAAAACCAACAUAACCUCGUGACUAACCACAUAAUAUCACGUAAUCACGUAAACAAUAAACAAAAAGAAAUAAAAUCCUCAAGUUUAGUAUCAUUAAAAUCACAAGUUCAUAUGAACAUAAAAGAAUCAUGCACCAUUUUUAUAACAUUCUAUACAUUUCAUUUUUUUUCAUGUAAAUAAAUAAGAAAUUCCAUUAUUCAUUUAUAAAAAAUAAAACAUUUUAAAAUCCAUUGAGAUGAAAUAAAACAUUUUAACCAUUUAAAAUACAUACUCAAAAAGCCUUGAAAUAUUAUAAAAAUGAGGGUUUAAUCCCAAAAUUUGUUUUCAUUUUAAAGUCCAUCAAUAAAUUAAAUAAAAUAACGGACCUCAUUUAAAAUAAAUAGUCCCAACCUUAAAUAUUAAAAUUUAAAUCAAGAGAUUUAAAUUCACUAAAAUAAUUUAGUGAAAAUUCAAACACAUAGGCAACACAAUCACAUAAGGCACAUAAGAAUCACAAUCAAACAUCAUUAAAACAUGCUCUGUNUAAACUGCUCUGUUUCAGAGGUCAUAAAAAUCGAAAUAUUAUGUUUUUAGAAAAGUAUUGAAGUCUAGUUUCGUUUAAAAAAAACGGUGAUGCAAAAUCCUUCAUGGAUUAAUAGAUAUAAACGUUUUUGUGAAGUCUACCAACAGUUGACAGAUUCUGUCAAGGAUUGUUCCAAAAUAUCUUUAAAAUACCAAACAUCAUCCAAAAGACAUGAAAUUUUGCAGCGACGAAAUACACAUAUCAUAGAUAAACAUACUAAAAUUUCAGAGCCAUCAAGCAAUGAAAACUCAUCGAAACAUAAGCUUGAAACUGCUGUAAAAUUUUUACAGAAUUCCAGUUUUAAUUAUCAUCCAUAAAUUGUAAAUCAAUUAGCAUGCUCAUGUGAUAUCGUAGAACACAUAUACGCAAUAAUAUUCAUUAUGCAACGUCCCAAACUUCACGAAUUUAAAUAAUCAUACUCUAAAAACUUAUACAAUUUUCGUGCUUGGAAAAAUACAAAUUUAAUAUAUAUCGAUUCUAGCAUACCCUUAAGCACAAAUAUCAAGUCAAAACGAUCAAACAAAAAUCGAAAGACAAGCUAAUAUGUGAAAAACGGGGCUGCCCUCAUGGGUUUCAUAGCUACGGUUCGUUCCGUUCUUACUCCCUUCAUUAAACAUGCUCAACAUCUACCCAAGAACAACAUACUAAAAUUUCACGACGAUCCGACGUCGUUUCAAAAUAAAGUCGAGAAUCGACGUUUUUCGACGUCGACGAAAAUCGAAAAGAAAACCAUCAAAACGUAGGUAGAGAUCUUACCUACUUAGAUACGUGUUCGAAAAGAUGAUCGGGGCUCGUCUCCGCACUCAAAACGGAGCUCAAAAGCUCCAACUCCAAAAAAAAUGAAAAUGCGUGAGUGAGUGUGUGUUUAGUGUGUGUGAGAGAAAUAAAAAAUGAAAAGUGAAGGUUUGGCUGAUACAGCCGUAAGUAAGAGAAGGAAAGGGAGUUGGGCGGUUGGGGGGUGGUUAAGGGUAGGGUAGGUUAGAUAUUUAGUCGUUAAAUAUCUCGUUUCGUCUCGUCUCGUCUCGUCUUAACGACUAACUACCCAUACUCUUCGUUACUCGCCCUCUCAACUCCUACUCACUUUCAUUACACUCGUAAUUCUAUAUAAAUAUAGAAAAUACAAGCUCGUUCUCGAAAUUCUGAUAAACGAGAUCUACACAUUUAUCGAGAAAUCCCGAUUUACUAUUCACUCGUCGUCCAAAAAUAAAAACUUUCAUUAUUGGACUCGUAUCGAAAAACUAAGAAUAUUUCUCGACGACGUGCACGUAAGAUUUUGAAAGUCGACAAAAAGACGAAAUAGCAGUAUUUUACUAUUCAUCGUCAAAAAGUCAAAAAUUUCAAAAACGUCUUAACGGACUCAGAUUUCACUUCCGAGUUCAUCGUUCCCGUUCAAAUAAUUAUCUCGAAUUAUUCAAAUACUCAAACUCAAAUACGGAUCCCACAUCAUCCACACAUCAUCAAAAGAACAUCUCAACAUCUUUUUAAAAAAAAACAAGAAAAACUUCAUAUAACUCCUCAUCUCUGUACAAGUAAUCAAACAAAGGAUACCCUAAUUACUCAAACUCAAGCAACUAAACACGUCAUCAAAAGCCCGGGUAUUACAGCUAAUCAUCAAGAUAUUCAUAUAUAUCAUCCCAAUAAUCAUCAAUCAUCAUAUAACUCAAGUCAAUUCAAGAAAAUAAACAACAAAAUUUCGUAGGGUCUCAAGCCCCAAAUUUUCGAAAAUUUCAUGGAAAUAAGUUGGGUGAUUUUCUUGCUCAAUCAUGAUCAUAUACUCACAUAUAACAUCAUACAAUCUAGAUCUAUGAAAAUAAGAUUCACUUACCCAAGAUUAAACAAAGAUCAAAGUUUUCCUUUUUCUAAAUCUUCAAGAGUAAGCUCCACGGUUCUCUUGGAAUUUCAAGAAUUGUAAGGUGUUUAAGUUUGAUUUGGUGGAGGAUCUUGAUCUUGGUGUGAAUUUAGGAGCUUUGGUGGUUCAUCUAUGGUGAUCUUUGAAAUAAAAUUCAAAAGAGAGAGAGAUUGAGUGAGAGCCGAGAGUGAAGUGUGAGGAAGAAAUGAAGUGUGCUUUGUCUUGCUAAGUGUAAUAUUGAUAAGUGUAAUAUGGAAUGUAGU
RNAcentral lists this long non-coding RNA (2921 nucleotides) under Salvia miltiorrhiza (redroot sage). RNAcentral describes it as "long non-coding RNA (SMIL_LNC006570)". The record is from RNAcentral. Lineage: Eukaryota; Viridiplantae; Streptophyta; Magnoliopsida; Lamiales; Lamiaceae.